RNAcentral lists this long non-coding RNA (282 nucleotides) under Mytilus galloprovincialis (Mediterranean mussel). The record is from RNAcentral. Lineage: Eukaryota; Metazoa; Mollusca; Bivalvia; Mytilida; Mytilidae.
UUUUUGCGCCUGUCCCAAGUCAGGAGCCUCUGGCCUUUGUUAGUCUUGUAUUCUUUUAAUUUUAGUUUCUUGUGUACAAUUUGGAAAUUAGUAUGGCGUUCAUUAUCACUGAACUAGUAUAUAUUUGUUUAGGGGCCAGCUGAAGGACGCCUCCGGGUGCGGGAAUUUCUCGCUACAUUGAAGACCUGUUGGUGACCUUCUGCUGUUGUUUUUUUCAAUGGUCGGGUUGUUGUCUCUUUGGCACAUUCCCCAUUUCCAUUCUCAAUUUAAUGAUAUACGUUA